Molecule: ribosomal RNA, 460 nt
Filed under: uncultured bacterium
Lineage: Bacteria
Description: partial 16S ribosomal RNA
Rfam family: Bacterial small subunit ribosomal RNA
Source: RNAcentral
CCUACGGGCGGCAGCAGUGAGGAAUAUUGGUCAAUGGACGAGAGUCUGAACCAGCCAAGUAGCGUGAAGGAUGACUGCCCUAUGGGUUGUAAACUUCUUUUAUAUGGGAAUAAAAUGUUCCACGUGUGGGAUUUUGUAUGUACCAUAUGAAUACGGAUCGGCUAACUCCGUGCCAGCAGCCGCGGUAAUACGGAGGAUCCGAGCGUUAUCCGGAUUUAUUGGGUUUAAAGGGAGCGUAGGUGGAUUGUUAAGUCAGUUGUGAAAGUUUGCGGCUCAACCGUAAAAUUGCAGUUGAAACUGGCAGUCUUGAGUACAGUAGAGGUGGGCGGAAUUCGUGGUGUAGCGGUGAAAUGCUUAGAUAUCACGAAGAACUCCGAUUGCGAAGGCAGUUCACUGGACUGCAACUGACACUGAGGCUCGAAAGUGUGGGUAUCAAACAGGAUUAGAUACCCCUGUAGUC